Molecule: ribosomal RNA, 402 nt
Filed under: uncultured bacterium
Lineage: Bacteria
Description: bacterial SSU rRNA
Rfam family: Bacterial small subunit ribosomal RNA
Source: RNAcentral
UUUUGGACAAUGGGGGCAACCCUGAUCCAGCAAUGCCGCGUGAGUGAAGAAGGCCUUCGGGUUGUAAAGCUCUUUUGUCAGGGAAGAAACACCUGCUCUAACACAGUCCGGGAAUGACGGUACCUGAAGAAUAAGCACCGGCUAACUACGUGCCAGCAGCCGCGGUAAUACGUAGGGUGCAAGCGUUAAUCGGAAUUACUGGGCGUAAAGCGUGCGCAGGCGGUUAUACAAGACAGGCGUGAAAUCCCCGGGCUUAACCUGGGAAUGGCGCCUGUGACUGUAUAGCUAGAGUGUGUCAGAGGGGGGUAGAAUUCCACGUGUAGCAGUGAAAUGCGUAGAUAUGUGGAGGAAUACCAAUGGCGAAGGCAGCCCCCUGGGAUAACACUGACGCUCAUGCACGAA